RNAcentral lists this ribosomal RNA (429 nucleotides) under Bacteroidota bacterium. Its description in RNAcentral is "Bacteroidetes bacterium partial 16S ribosomal RNA". It matches the Rfam family "Bacterial small subunit ribosomal RNA", at positions 355 to 776 of the family's 1533-position model. Lineage: Bacteria; Pseudomonadati; Bacteroidota. The record is from RNAcentral.
UAGGGAAUCUUCCGCAAUGGACGCAAGUCUGACGGAGCAACGCCGCGUGAGUGAAGAAGGAUUUCGGUUCGUAAAACUCUGUUGUUAGAGAAGAACAGCGCAUAGAGUAACUGUUAUGCGUGUGACGGUAUCUAACCAGAAAGCCACGGCUAACUACGUGCCAGCAGCCGCGGUAAUACGUAGGUGGCAAGCGUUGUCCGGAUUUAUUGGGCGUAAAGCGCGCGCAGGCGGUCAAUUAAGUCUGAUGUGAAAGCCCCCGGCUCAACCGGGGAGGGUCAUUGGAAACUGGUUGACGUGAGGGCAGAAGAGGAGAGUGGAAUUCCAUGUGUAGCGGUGAAAUGCGUAGUUAUAUGGAGGAACACCAGUGGCGAAGGCGACUCUCUGGUCUGUAACUGACGCGGAGGCUCGAAAGCGUGGGUAGCAAACAGG